CUACGGAGGAUCCGAGCGUUAUCCGGAUUUAUUGGGUUUAAAGGGAGCGUAGGCGGGAGAUCAAGUCAGCUGUGAAAUGUAGGCGCUCAACGUGUGCACUGCAGUUGAAACUGGUUUUCUUGAGUGCGUAAGGGGCAGGCGGAAUUCGUCGUGUAGCGGUGAAACUCUUAGAUAUGACGAAGAACUCCGAUCGCGAAGGCGGCUGGCCGGGCCGCAACUGACGCUGAAGCUCGAAGGUGCGGGUAUCGAACAGGAUUAGAUACCCUGGUAGUCCGCACAGUAAACGAUGGAUACUCGCUGUCGGCGAUAUACGGUCGGUGGCCAAGCGAAAGCGUUAGGUAUCCCACCUGGGGAGUACGCCGGCAACGGUGAAACUCAAAUGAAUUGACGGGG
Molecule: ribosomal RNA, 393 nt
Filed under: uncultured bacterium
Lineage: Bacteria
Description: partial 16S ribosomal RNA
Rfam family: Bacterial small subunit ribosomal RNA
Source: RNAcentral